This 254-nucleotide ribosomal RNA is filed under the name uncultured bacterium. Its description in RNAcentral is "partial 16S ribosomal RNA". It matches the Rfam family "Bacterial small subunit ribosomal RNA", at positions 524 to 776 of the family's 1533-position model. The record is from RNAcentral.
UACGAGAGGUACAAGCGUUGCCCGGAUUUAUUGGGCGUAAAGUGUUCCGUAGGCGCUUUCUUAAGUUACUCUUCAAAGACCAGGGCUCAACCUUGGGAAGGGGAGUAAUACUGAGAGAGUUGAGUUAUUGUGGGGCUACUGGAACUAUCGGUGUAGGGGUGAAAUCCGUUGAUAUCGAUAGGAACUCCAAGGGCGAAGGCAGGUAGCUAACAAUAUACUGACGCUGAGGGACGACAGCUAGGGGAGCGAAAGGG